RNAcentral lists this ribosomal RNA (800 nucleotides) under uncultured bacterium. Its description in RNAcentral is "bacterial SSU rRNA". It matches the Rfam family "Bacterial small subunit ribosomal RNA", at positions 8 to 805 of the family's 1533-position model. The record is from RNAcentral.
AGAGUUUGAUCCUGGCUCAGAUUGAACGCUGGCGGUAUGCUUUACACAUGCAAGUCGAACGGCAGCACGGGGCAACCUGGUGGCGAGUGGCGAACGGGUGAGUAAUAUAUCGGAACAUGUCCGGAAGUGGGGGAUAACGUACCGAAAGGUACGCUAAUACCGCAUAUGCCCUGAGGGGGAAAGGGGGGGAUCGCAAGACCUCUCGCUUUCGGAGUGGCCGAUAUCGGAUUAGCUAGAUGGUGAGGUAAAGGCUCACCAUGGCGACGAUCCGUAGCUGGUCUGAGAGGACGACCAGCCACACUGGAACUGAGACACGGUCCAGACUCCUACGGGAGGCAGCAGUGGGGAAUUUUGGACAAUGGGGGCAACCCUGAUCCAGCCAUACCGCGUGAGUGAAGAAGGCCUUCGGGUUGUAAAGCUCUUUCGGACAGAAAGAAAUCGUGCGGGCUAAUACCCCGUAUGGAUGACGGUACUGUAAGAAGAAGCACCGGCUAACUACGUGCCAGCAGCCGCGGUAAUACGUAGGGUGCGAGCGUUAAUCGGAAUUACUGGGCGUAAAGCGUGCGCAGGCGGUUUUGUAAGACAGGUGUGAAAUCCCCGGGCUUAACCUGGGAACUGCAUUUGUGACUGCAAGGCUAGAGUGUAGCAGAGGGGGGUAGAAUUCCACGUGUAGCAGUGAAAUGCGUAGAGAUGUGGAGGAAUACCGAUGGCGAAGGCAGCCCCCUGGGUCAACACUGACGCUCAUGCACGAAAGCGUGGGGAGCAAACAGGAUUAGAUACCCUGGUAGUCCACGCCCUAA